AAGACCGCCUUUGUACACUGUUUUAUUUUUAUUUGUAAUAUGUUAUUGUGUUGAUUGUUGUUGUGUACAAUAAAGAGUAUCUAUCUAUCUAUCUAUCUUCAUCACCACCGUCAUUGUUAUGUAAACCUACGAAAAUAAAUAAUGAAACUAAAAAAAAACGAAUUAAUGACAGUACUAACUACAUAGUUGGCUCAAAAAAAAGGAAAAAAAUUAGUUUAUAAUCUACACCAUACUACCUUGAUCAUCUUCAUCAUCACCAUCAACUAAACGUAGAAAAAUAAGAAAAAUCAACUCGAAUUUGAAGGACAUAAAUAUGCAUAUGGAAAUAGCACAUGAAGACAGUACAUUAGCAACAAUUGCUGAUAAUCCCUUUUCAUCAUCAUCAUAAAUCUGAAACAGAAGCUGAAAUGAAUAUAUUACCAGCUAGAUCAUCAUCAACAAAAAAUACUGUAUCCAGUGAUUCUUUGCUGGAAUGUAUCAAACAUAAUUAUAACAGUCUAUCAAAACAAUUAGCUUUAAAAGGCCAUAUCUGCUGACGUUCCCAAAUCCUAUCUGAAAUAAAAAAAUAACAGUACUCAGCUGUUAGAUUUCAGUUUAUUAACAGAUCCUGAAGGAAAUCCAGUGGUCCAAAAAUUAGAAUUUCCGCUAUCAACAAUGGAAGAUAUUAUUUUGAUAAACUCAAUGAAAAAUUAAAAGGCCAAAAAUAUAAAAAUAAAAUGAAUAAACGUAUAUACUUUUCUCUUGAUGGAAAAAAUACUUUUACCCGUAAUAUGGGAAAUAUUACUCGUGUUUAUAUAUCAAGAGAUGUCAUAUGUAGCAGUUAAAGCAACUUCAAAAAAAAAUUUUCAAAGAUACGACUUUUUCACUUCUAUAAAAAGUAUGUUAAUCAUUAUAUAGUGCAGAAUUACUAUCAUUGAUACCUAAUUAAUUAUUUCUUAA
Molecule: unclassified non-coding RNA, 939 nt
Filed under: Melitaea cinxia (Glanville fritillary)
Lineage: Eukaryota; Metazoa; Arthropoda; Insecta; Lepidoptera; Nymphalidae
Description: misc RNA ENSMCXG00005018967.1
Source: RNAcentral